Molecule: ribosomal RNA, 497 nt
Filed under: uncultured bacterium
Lineage: Bacteria
Description: bacterial SSU rRNA
Rfam family: Bacterial small subunit ribosomal RNA
Source: RNAcentral
UCAGGAUGAACGCUGGCGGCGUGCUUAAUACAUGCAAGUCGAACGAAGACAUCUCGCCGAAGCUUGCUUCAUUGAGAUAUCGUUAGUGGCGGACGGGUGAGUAACGCGUGGGUAACCUGCCUUACACAGGGGGAUAACAGUUAGAAAUGACUGCUAAUACCGCAUAAGCGCACAUUUAUCGCAUGAUAGAGUGUGAAAAGAUUUUAUCGGUGUAAGAUGGACCCGCGUCUGAUUAGCUAGUUGGUGAGGUAACGGCCCCACCAAGGCGACGAUCGGUAGCCGAACUGAGAGGUUGAUCGGCCACAUUGGGACUGAGACACGGCCCAGACUCCUACGGGAGGCAGCAGUGGGGAAUAUUGGGCAAUGGGCGAAAAAGCCUGACCCAGCAACGCCGCGUGAAGGAAGACGGUCUUCGGAUUGUAAACUUCUUUGAUUGGGGAAGAACAAAAUGACCUACCCAAAGAACAAGUCACGGCUAACUACGUGCCAGCCGCCGC